AUACGUAGGGUGCAAGCGUUAAUCGGAAUUACUGGGCGUAAAGCGUGCGCAGGCGGUUUUGUAAGACAGAGGUGAAAUCCCCGGGCUCAACCUGGGAACUGCCUUUGUGACUGCAGGGCUAGAGUACGGCAGAGGGGGAUGGAAUUCCGCGUGUAGCAGUGAAAUGCGUAGAUAUGCGGAGGAACACCGAUGGCGAAGGCCAUCCCCUGGGCCUGUACUGACGCUCGUGCACGAAAGCGUGGGGAGCAAACAGGAGUAGAUACCCUGGGAGUCCACGCCCUAAACGAUGUCAACUGGGUGUUGGGUCUUCAUUGACUCAGUAACGAAGCUAACGCGUUAAGUUGACCGCCUGGGGAGUACGGCCGCAAGGUUGAAACUCAAAUGAAUUGACGGGG
Molecule: ribosomal RNA, 395 nt
Filed under: uncultured bacterium
Lineage: Bacteria
Description: partial 16S ribosomal RNA
Rfam family: Bacterial small subunit ribosomal RNA
Source: RNAcentral